UAGCGAACGGGUGAGUAACGCGUAGGUAAUCUGCCUUCAAGUGGGGGACAACCCGGGGAAGCCCGGGCUAAUACCGCAUGUGUCCGUAAGGAUAAAGCCGGCCUCUGAAUAUGCUGGUGCUUGGAGAUGAGCCUGCGUCUGAUUAGCUGGUUGGUGGGGUAAUGGCUCACCAAGGCGAUGAUAAGUAGGCGGCUUUAACGAGUGGUCGCCCACACUGGGAUUGAGAUACGGCCCAGACUCCUACGGGAGGCAGCAGUCGAGGAUAGUCUACAAUGGUCGAAAGAUUGAUAGUGCGACGCCGCGUGAACGAUGAAGCAUUUCGGUGUGUAAAGUUCUUUUCUAUGCGAGCAGAGGGAGGUAUGUGAACAAUGUGCUUUCUAGGAUAUUAGUAUAGGAAUAAGCCACGGCUAACUCCGUGCCAGCAGCCGCGGUAAUACGGGGGUGGCGAGCGUUGUCCGGAAUUACUAGGCGUAAAGGGCAGGUAGGCGGAUAGAUAAGUUAAUCGUUAAAGACCGGCGCUCACCGUCGGGGCUGCGGUUGAUACUGUUUAUCUGGAAUCGAGUGGGGGAAGACGGAAUUCCUGGUGUAGCGGUGGAAUGCGCAGAUAUCAGGAGGAACACCGAAGGCGAAGGCAGUCUUCUACGCUUGUAUUGACGCUAAACUGCGAAGGUGCGGGUAUCAAACAGGAUUAGAUACCCUGGUAGUCCGCACAGUAAACGAUAUUCACUAGGUGUUGGCGGGAUAGACCCGUCGGUGCCGUAGCUAACGCGAUAAGUGAAUCGCCUGGGGGAGUACGAUCGCAAGGUUGAAACUCAAAGGAAUUGACGGGGGCCCGCACAAGCGGUGGAGCAUGUGGUUUAAUUCGAUGCAACGCGAAGAACCUUACCUGGGCUUGACA
Molecule: ribosomal RNA, 898 nt
Filed under: uncultured bacterium
Lineage: Bacteria
Description: bacterial SSU rRNA
Rfam family: Bacterial small subunit ribosomal RNA
Source: RNAcentral